Molecule: ribosomal RNA, 300 nt
Filed under: uncultured Bacillus sp.
Lineage: Bacteria; Bacillati; Bacillota; Bacilli; Caryophanales; Bacillaceae
Description: bacterial SSU rRNA
Rfam family: Bacterial small subunit ribosomal RNA (bases 52-300)
Source: RNAcentral
GGUAAGUCGGGGCGAGCAGAGGGGGUAGUGCAGGGGGUGGAAUGGUGAAGUGGAUUUACUGGGAGGAAAGCGAACGGAGGGGUCGGGGUAAGGUGGAUGUGAAAUCCCCGGGCGUAACUUGGGAAUUGCAUUAAAGACUGCCUGGCGAGAGUGGGGAAGAGGGAAGCGGAAUUCCAGGGGUAGCGGUGAAAUGCGUAGAUAUCUGGAGGAACAUCAGUGGCGAAGGCGGCUUCCUGGUCCAACACUGACACUGAGGUGCGAAAGCGUGGGGAGCAAACAGGAUUAGAUACCCCUGUAGUC